GCUCCGAUCGUCUAGCCCGGUCAAGGAUACAAGCUUCUCACGCUUGUGACGGGGGUUCGAAUCCCCCUCGGAGCACCA
RNAcentral lists this transfer RNA (78 nucleotides) under Candidatus Iainarchaeum sp. Its description in RNAcentral is "tRNA-Glu". It matches the Rfam family "tRNA". Rfam says of the family: Transfer RNA (tRNA) molecules are approximately 80 nucleotides in length. Their secondary structure includes four short double-helical elements and three loops (D, anti-codon, and T loops). Lineage: Archaea; Nanobdellati; Candidatus Iainarchaeota; Candidatus Iainarchaeia; Candidatus Iainarchaeales; Candidatus Iainarchaeaceae. The record is from RNAcentral.